GGGGUUGUGGCUCAGUGGUAGAGCACCCACGUAGCAUGUGUGAGGCCCUGAGUUCUAUCCUCAGCACCA
This 69-nucleotide transfer RNA is filed under the name Ictidomys tridecemlineatus (thirteen-lined ground squirrel). RNAcentral's name for it is "Spermophilus tridecemlineatus (thirteen-lined ground squirrel) tRNA". It matches the Rfam family "tRNA". From Rfam's summary of the family: Transfer RNA (tRNA) molecules are approximately 80 nucleotides in length. Their secondary structure includes four short double-helical elements and three loops (D, anti-codon, and T loops). The record is from Rfam by way of RNAcentral. Lineage: Eukaryota; Metazoa; Chordata; Mammalia; Rodentia; Sciuridae.